UGUCCAGUUUGGAGACUGAAGCCUCUGUUAAUCAAGAGAACAGAUACAGCACAGGCUGCUGCAGUGUGAACUUCCCUACAGUAUCCAAGCCACUGUCUCAAACUCUCCCCUGAAGGGGCUGCCUCUAGGAGCCACAGGAGAGUUCUGUCUCCCUGACCCAUUCUGUCUGCC
This 171-nucleotide small RNA is filed under the name Chelonoidis abingdonii (Abingdon island giant tortoise). Its description in RNAcentral is "TUC338 (ENSCABG00000014174.1)". Lineage: Eukaryota; Metazoa; Chordata; Testudines; Testudinidae. The record is from RNAcentral.